UACAGAGGGUGCGAACGUUGUUCGGAAUUACUGGGCAUAAAGAGCACGUAGGCGGCACCGCAAGUGUGGGGUGAAAUCCCACGGCUUACCCGUGGAACUGCCUGGCAGACUGCGGUGCUAGAGGUUGGUAGGGGAGAGCGGAACUCUUGGUGGAGCGGUGAAAUGCGUAGAUAUCAAGAGGAACACCGGUGGCGAAGGCGGCUCUCUGGACCAGUUCUGACACUGAUGAGCGAAAGCCAGGGGAGCAAACAGG
This 253-nucleotide ribosomal RNA is filed under the name uncultured bacterium. RNAcentral describes it as "partial 16S ribosomal RNA". It matches the Rfam family "Bacterial small subunit ribosomal RNA", at positions 524 to 776 of the family's 1533-position model. The record is from RNAcentral.